RNAcentral lists this transfer RNA (84 nucleotides) under Bacillus phage JBP901. RNAcentral describes it as "tRNA-Leu". It matches the Rfam family "tRNA". From Rfam's summary of the family: Transfer RNA (tRNA) molecules are approximately 80 nucleotides in length. Their secondary structure includes four short double-helical elements and three loops (D, anti-codon, and T loops). The record is from RNAcentral. Lineage: Duplodnaviria; Heunggongvirae; Uroviricota; Caudoviricetes; Herelleviridae.
AUCGGAAUGUUGGAAUUGGUAGACAUAACGGACUUAAAAUCCGUUGCUCGUAGAGCGUGGCGGGUUCGAGUCCCCCCUCCGAUA